This 76-nucleotide transfer RNA is filed under the name bioreactor metagenome. Its description in RNAcentral is "tRNA-Pro". It matches the Rfam family "tRNA". From Rfam's summary of the family: Transfer RNA (tRNA) molecules are approximately 80 nucleotides in length. Their secondary structure includes four short double-helical elements and three loops (D, anti-codon, and T loops). The record is from RNAcentral.
UCGGGGUGUGGCUCAGUUUGGUAGAGCGCUGCGUUCGGGACGCAGAGAUCGCAGGUUCAAAUCCUGUUACCCCGAU